AGCGAACGCUGGCGGCAGGCCUAACACAUGCAAGUCGAACGAACCUUUCGGGGUUAGUGGCGGACGGGUGAGUAACACGUGGGAACGUGCCUUUAGGUUCGGAAUAACUCAGGGAAACUUGUGCUAAUACCGAAUGUGCCCUUCGGGGGAAAGAUUAAUCGCCUUUAGAGCGGCCCGCGUCUGAUUAGCUAGUUGGUUGAGGUAAUGGCUCACCAAGGCGACGAUCAGUAGCUGGUCGGAGAGGAUGAUCAGCCACAUUGGGACUGAGACACGGCCCAAACUCCUACGGGAGGCAGCAGUGGGGAAUCUUGCGCAAUGGGCGAAGGCCUGACGCAGCCAUGCCGCGUGAAUGAUGAAGGUCUUAGGAUUGUAAAAUUCUUUCACCGGGGACGAUAAUGACGGUACCCGGAGAAGAAGCCCCGGCUAACUUCGUG
This 434-nucleotide ribosomal RNA is filed under the name uncultured bacterium. RNAcentral's name for it is "partial 16S ribosomal RNA". It matches the Rfam family "Bacterial small subunit ribosomal RNA", at positions 29 to 507 of the family's 1533-position model. The record is from RNAcentral.